UACAUAUCUAGAUCACUUUCAUUUCAUUUACAUAUUUUUAUUUCCAUCACCGGUAUCACUAGGGGCCCAUAGGGAUCUCGCUAUACGUGGAUGUACAAAAUAUUUCUUUUACAAUUCACCGAUCGUCUCCAUACCCCAUCCUGUAAUAGGUGUCACAAUUAUAAACUGUCUCAAUAACCCAUCGGGUAUGAGCGUAAUUAAACUAAUUCUCAACCCCAUCUAGUAUGGAACUUUCCAGCCUCAUAUGACUAAGGACACAUUUACGGUGGGGUUCACCCUAUGUACCAAGUCCGUACACUCUGUCUCAUGAUACACGGUAAGCUUUUUCCUCUUCAAAAAUUAUCUCAACUUCAAAAAUUUAAACACCAAUCAUAAACAUAUAUAUUCUUAUAUUCCUACACUUACUUACUUGUUCACGUAUCCAUUGUACAUAUGAUUUACAUGUAUGUAGCACACUUUAUAUUAUAUAUACAUAUAUGCACAACAAUAUAUAUCUUAACUACUCCUAUAUAUAUUUCGCAUAUAAUCAUAUCUACCAUUAAAAACUUACAGAUUUACACCCACACUCAUAUAGCAUCUUUAAUCACUUACCGAUACAUAUAUUGUAUGAUAUAUUCUCACACAUACACACAAAUGCGUAUGCACCUAAUUUAUAUAUAUGUCAUCCUACACAACUGCAUUCAUCUUACCUAUAUACUACAUAUAUUUAACAUAUAUCACAUAUAUUCAUACGAAAUCAUAUACCGCUCAUUCAAAAUAAUUACCCACGUAAUCAUAUGUAUAUGUAUGUCAAGACAUCCAGUUUGUAAACAUACACUCCCACCCAUUAUCUCCUACAUGUGUAUCAUUUGGCACACGCACAUACAUUCAAACACACUCAAUUAUGUAUUUAUACAACUUCACCAUUAUUCUUAUUUACACAAAAACAAUAGUAGGAAGCUAUUUACACAUUUUUACAUACGGAUGAUAAUUUGUGAGAAAACAUAUUCUAAAAUCAUCCAUUAAACUUGGGUCUGUCAUUUAAAAAUUAAUAAAUUAUUUUACAAAAAUAUAUAAUCCUCGAAUGAAAACUAACUCAAUUUUUACCAGAAUCUCCAACAAAAGAAGAAAUCGGAAAGCUUUCGAAUGACUUUGGUUCCAUAUAAUCGACUCCUGUUUCAGUUUCCUAUUCCUAAUUUCCCUAAAAAAUUUGCACACAUGAUUAAAGAUUUAAUUUAAAAGAGUAAUCAAAUGUAAGGUGGAAGAAAAUUUACCAAAAUUGGUAUCGAAUUUGGGCUUUCGACCUGAAAGAGUAUGGUUUCGGUCUCUCUCCAGUUCCCUGAUUUUUAGCAUCACAUAGAUCUUUGGACGGAUCCGGAACACUGUGCCAUGGUCUACUUCACACAGAUCAGGUCCACCCAACACACAUUUUGCUUCUUCUUCUUCAGCAAUGCGCGCCUUGCGUCUGACACCACGCGUAUAGCCUUGUGCACCCUGGCACCGCGCGCCUAGCCUCAUGUACCCCAGCAACGUGGUGCUGCAUGCUCAGCACUGUGCACCACGCGCCCAGUACCGCACACCACCUGCUUAGCACUGCACACCGUGUGCCCAGCACCGCAUACCACACGUCGCAUACCCGACAUUGCGAACCGUGCGCCACACACAGCUUUUUCUCCUAGUUGCACCUGUCGCUCGCCCGGCAUUGUGCACCGCGCGCAGCUCUUCUUUCGGUCGUGCGCCAUGCUUCCUUCUUUCCUUCUUUUUCUUCUUCGGAGGUAGCGUGCGCAGAUCCGACACCGCACGCAACUUCUCUUUUCCAGCCGCGAGCGCUGUGCGCCGUGCUUUUUUCUUUUUUUUUUUCUUCUUCUUCUCCACUGCCC
This 1859-nucleotide long non-coding RNA is filed under the name Carica papaya (papaya). RNAcentral's name for it is "long non-coding RNA (CPAP_LNC006879)". Lineage: Eukaryota; Viridiplantae; Streptophyta; Magnoliopsida; Brassicales; Caricaceae. The record is from RNAcentral.